Candidatus Regiella insecticola 5.15 is the source of this 62-nucleotide non-coding RNA. It matches the Rfam family "Pseudomonas sRNA P26". Rfam says of the family: P26 is conserved across many Gammaproteobacteria species and appears to be consistently located between the DNA directed RNA polymerase (beta subunit) and 50S ribosomal protein L7/L12 genes. The record is from Rfam. NCBI's taxonomy places the organism in Bacteria, Pseudomonadati, Pseudomonadota, Gammaproteobacteria, Enterobacterales, Enterobacteriaceae.
GGUUUUCGACUUGCAGCUUGAUUUUAUAGGCUGAUGGCUGGUGACUCGUGGGUCAUCAGCUU